Molecule: ribosomal RNA, 427 nt
Filed under: uncultured Pseudomonadota bacterium
Lineage: Bacteria; Pseudomonadati; Pseudomonadota
Description: bacterial SSU rRNA
Rfam family: Bacterial small subunit ribosomal RNA
Source: RNAcentral
UGGGGAUAUUGCACAAUGGGGGAAACCCUGAUGCAGCGACGCCGCGUGAGGGAAGAAGGCUUUCGGGUCGUAAACCUCUGUCGGGAAGGAAGAACCCCCCAGGUCCGAAUAGGGCCUGGGGCUGACGGUACUUCCAAAGGAAGCACCGGCUAACUCCGUGCCAGCAGCCGCGGUAAUACGGAGGGUGCAAGCGUUAAUCGGAAUCACUGGGCGUAAAGCGCGCGUAGGCGGCUUUUUAAGUCGGACGUGAAAGCCCUCGGCUCAACCGGGGAAUUGCGUUCGAAACUGGGAGGCUUGAGUCCUGGAGAGGUGAGUGGAAUUUCCAGUGUAGAGGUGAAAUUCGUAGAUAUUGGAAAGAACACCAGUGGCGAAGGCGGCUCACUGGCUCGGUACUGACGCUGAGGUGCGACAGCGUGGGGAGCAAACA